Long non-coding RNA from Papaver somniferum (opium poppy), 3244 nucleotides. RefSeq lists it as uncharacterized. The record is from RefSeq and is a predicted model, not a curated record. NCBI's taxonomy places the organism in Eukaryota, Viridiplantae, Streptophyta, Magnoliopsida, Ranunculales, Papaveraceae. The transcript is spliced from 5 exons.
GUUAGUUGCAUAAUGAGCGUUGGAUUAGAAAAACUAUGUUUUCAUUGGUUUUCAUGGUUGAAUGCAGAUCACAAAAAAAAAGAAAAAAGAGAAAAGAUUAUGAUUCAAUUGUUUCCCCAAAAUCAUUUUAGAAAUUGGUUCCCCCAAAAUCAAUAUCCCUCCCAAACUUGAAUCCACAAAAUUUCCCCCCCAGUUUUUCCCUCUAAUUUUAUCAAUAUCUCCAUCUACCUCUUUAAAAUUGAUUAUUUUCACCUGUUUAUUCAUAUACCCCCAAUUUUCAGACACAUUUAUUAUUUUCACCUGUUUAUUUUUUAACCUUGUUUUUCACUCUUUCUCUUUCUGUUCGAGAACUCCUAGAACCAGAGAUCGAUCUCUUUUAUUUCCCAGAAAUCUCAUAAAUCAAAACCUUCACUUCUAAUCAACAACUCCACUCAUAAUCAAAACCCAAAGAUCUCUUUAGUUGAUAAUCGAAGGAAACCAAAUCAAGACCUAGAAAUAUCAUCUAAAACCUAGAAAUUUAAUUUUGUUCCUGAAAUCGAAAAUCAAUUCAUCUAAUUGCUUUGUUGAUGUUCUAGAGGUAUCUUUGGCUUCGAUAGGUGAACUUCAGAGGUUAAGGUUUGAGUGAGAUUUGAGGCAGGUUACUACCUUAAGAUUUGGAUUUGUGCGGUAAUUCUGGAUUACUGAAAAUGGGGCGCUACAAUUUUCAGUUUAAUGUAUAGAUUUUGGUGACGUCCCUUUAAUGUUAAAAGUCCUCAAAAGUGAAUGAUUCGCAUACAGAGUUGGGUUUAUGGCUUGAGGUUUUGUAGAGUACAAUUGUGGUUCUAAGGACUUGAAAGGUAUUGACGUAUUGUGCACUGAACUUAUUCAUCACCGAGAAAGGUUUGUACUUCUAUGAUUCUGUAAUUUAUGCGUCUCUCGUAUUCUGUGUAGUCUAAUUUGCUUUCAGUAUGCUUAGAAUUCAGUUUGCUGGUCAUUUUAGAAAAUUGAUCUUUUGGUUUGCAGUGAAUUAUAGGCUUGAAUAUAAGAACAUGAGUAUAUACUUUUAUGGUAGAUAAUAAUCUUGUAUGUGCAUCAUUGUAGAAUGUCCCAACAUACUGAUAAAGCUUGGAUGUUUGAAGAUAGGUUUAGUCAUUUGUAUAGAACAGGAGUAGAUACUUUUAUUGCCUUCGCAUAUAAGAACAGAGCUAGAGACGCAUAAUUCUGUCCCUGUCCUUGUCAUGUUUGUUGUAAUGCGAAGUCUAAGUGUUUUGAAGAAGUGAGGCAUGAUUUGAAAGUGAAUGGCAUGUUAGUUACAUAUGUAAGUUGGUCACUACAUGGAGAGCAGCCAACAUUAUCAUUAAAGGUAGUUGCUGCAAAUGUAGAGAAAGAGGUACAUGUAAGUAUACUUCAGAAAUGUGAAUAACGACACUUAUUUCACUGCUUCAUACUCUUAGCUAACCACCAAGUUUCUAUUAUCAAAUUUCUAAAAAAACCGGGAGGUAAAAAAAUGGGAGGUCUGUUUGGGUUCAUGAACUUUAUUUAAGUUUGUGGUGGGCGCGGAUGUUUGGUACUCCCUGUCCCGCUCACUCUUCCUUUAUAUUGGAUUUCUUAACGAACUUGGGAGGAAGGCAGUUGGCCUGAGUGUCAUUGAUUAAGGUUAAAGUGACGGUUGUAUAUACAAAAUUUAUGGGGUUACAUCAAAAUAACUCGGUAUAGUACUAGUUAGUAAGGACAUUAAUGUUAUCUGUAAUUGAAAUUUGUGUUCUGGAAAAUAUUUUAGCCCACCUAGGCAUUAAAACCAACUUCCAUGAAUGUGGUCCAAGGACACAAAACGGGAUUACGUCGAAGUCGUUACUGAGGUAUAUUCCGUCAUGUGUAACAAUAAACACGCGAUGCACACGCUUUAAUGGCUAGCACACGCUUAAAUUUGUACAAACCCUAGGAGCUUCAUCGAGCCGGUAAUUUGGGAUAUUGGUUCCCUGUAUUCCUAAUUGAGACUCAAAUGUAAGUGUUUGGAUGUCGAUGUUGAAUAGUUAAAUUUUUAUCAGUAUAAUCUUAAUUACAAGAAUUUUAAUUGAGUUGAAUUAGUAUUAAUUUUAGUCAAAUUAUAUACAAGUUUUUAUUUUUAAUUGAAUAAUUCAUUUCCUUUUUUAUAAGAGAGAUGAAUACAUAGAGAGAAUAUUAGGAAUUUAAUCUCUAGGUUUGUUUAUAUAUUUUAAGGGGUUUAGGCUUUGGAAUGAAAAUACGUGGGAGCAAAGAAAAUCGAAAAUCAGGGUUCGUUUCUGUUAGUAUUACUAAUUGCUUAUACAUGGAUAGUGAUUGAAAGAUUUUGAUGUAGUAAUUGUUUGAUUGUUUUCUUUUUCCUGUAUUGUUGAGCUGAAGUAAAAUGAAUUUCGACUAAAUUUUGUACAAUGGUGGGGUUCAAACGCACGACCACGAACGCACACCCUUCCGCCUUAACCAACUGUUGAACAACCUAGGGGUGGGAAUUGUCAUGUCCCUUGUUAUACAAAGGUACCCAUGCUAUUUUUUUAAGGGCACCUAGGUGUAGUUACUAAUUAGUCAUUGAGUGUGUGUUUGGCACAUGUGAUGGGACAUUGCCCUAAUAAGUUAGAGUCUGUAUUCCUCUUUCAGUUCAGUGAAUAGAAUUGCGUUGUUAUGUUCUUCCGCCUCUUCGAGGUGUUUAUCUUCAAUUUAUACAGUGUAGAUCCCGUAGAAUUGAGCUUGAUUAUCCGUUUGUAGUGUAGAUCACUACAGACUUCUACUAAAUUAUCCAUGUCAUAUGAUACAAAAGUGUAAGAUAUUUAUUACAACACAUGGAUCACCAUGUCACGUUCCCCUUAAAAGAUUUGGCACCACUUUUUUAAACUCAGCCAGCUAGAUAGCUGCACGCCUGCACCAAGAGACCAAAUCGGUUCAACAAUCCCCAUCUGACAUAUCCUGGCGCCCAUCAUUCACUAGCCAAAUCCAAAUGGAGAAAACUAUAAAAUGUGUCAACAUGUUUACUAUCUACUAUGGGUGCUACAUUGGGCACUCCAACCUUAAAGAAGAGUUGAAGAUGAAAAGUUGGUGACCGUAGAUAUAAGUGUAGGAUUUCGGUACUAUCCUUCUGUAUCUCUACCGCCACCAUUUUUGAAGGCCCGCGACACCAUGUCUAUUACCUAUGCAGAUUCCAGUACCUAUCCUUACAUGGCUGAUUUCUCUAAUCCGGUGAGUGUGUCAUUUUUUUAUGGGUUUUUCAUGAUCACAAUAUGCGUUCUGAAAA